GGACCAAGUGUGCCGCUGCUUCCCUAACUGCAUUCAUAACUCUGCUAUAUAUCGUUCGACGAGUCUAGUCGCAGAGUCUCAACAAAUGACAGCCUGCUGUAACUGUAGCCUCUCUGGUCCCAGAUGUGAUGCAUGUCACUCUUCAAUGAGUCCUGUACAGAGUCCCAGCCUCUCUGUUCCAAAUUGUUUGCCCUGCUCUAUAGAGUAAAUGUGGAGUGCUUUAUAGGAAUUGUGGUGGGAUGGUUCUGGGGAAGGGCUGCAUUUCCACAGCAUGUGGGUGGUGGUGUGUCACCCCUACCUUCCAAUAAAAGGCUACCGCUCCUUCUCAGCCCUCAGCUUUGCUUUGUCUUAUAGUACAUGAGCUCCUGUACUAACCGCUGCUAUCCUGUACAAACCCACAGUGUUCCAGAGCAUGCUGCUAUCCUGUACAAACCCACAGUGUUUCAGAGAACGCUGCUAUCCUGUACAAACCCAGUGUUCCAGAGCACGCUGCUAUCCUGAACAAACCCACAGUGUUCCAGAGCACGCUGCUAUCCUGAACAAACCCACAGUGUUCCAGAGCACGCUGCUAUCCUGAACAAAC
This is a non-coding RNA of Pelobates cultripes (western spadefoot toad), 583 nucleotides long. Lineage: Eukaryota; Metazoa; Chordata; Amphibia; Anura; Pelobatidae. The record is from the annotation of a GenBank genome assembly.